Molecule: ribosomal RNA, 1369 nt
Filed under: Salmonella enterica subsp. enterica serovar Schwarzengrund
Lineage: Bacteria; Pseudomonadati; Pseudomonadota; Gammaproteobacteria; Enterobacterales; Enterobacteriaceae
Description: bacterial SSU rRNA
Rfam family: Bacterial small subunit ribosomal RNA
Source: RNAcentral
GUCGCAAGACCAAAGAGGGGGACCUUCGGGCCUCUUGCCAUCAGAUGUGCCCAGAUGGGAUUAGCUUGUUGGUGAGGUAACGGCUCACCAAGGCGACGAUCCCUAGCUGGUCUGAGAGGAUGACCAGCCACACUGGAACUGAGACACGGUCCAGACUCCUACGGGAGGCAGCAGUGGGGAAUAUUGCACAAUGGGCGCAAGCCUGAUGCAGCCAUGCCGCGUGUAUGAAGAAGGCCUUCGGGUUGUAAAGUACUUUCAGCGGGGAGGAAGGUGUUGUGGUUAAUAACCGCAGCAAUUGACGUUACCCGCAGAAGAAGCACCGGCUAACUCCGUGCCAGCAGCCGCGGUAAUACGGAGGGUGCAAGCGUUAAUCGGAAUUACUGGGCGUAAAGCGCACGCAGGCGGUCUGUCAAGUCGGAUGUGAAAUCCCCGGGCUCAACCUGGGAACUGCAUUCGAAACUGGCAGGCUUGAGUCUUGUAGAGGGGGGUAGAAUUCCAGGUGUAGCGGUGAAAUGCGUAGAGAUCUGGAGGAAUACCGGUGGCGAAGGCGGCCCCCUGGACAAAGACUGACGCUCAGGUGCGAAAGCGUGGGGAGCAAACAGGAUUAGAUACCCUGGUAGUCCACGCCGUAAACGAUGUCUACUUGGAGGUUGUGCCCUUGAGGCGUGGCUUCCGGAGCUAACGCGUUAAGUAGACCGCCUGGGGAGUACGGCCGCAAGGUUAAAACUCAAAUGAAUUGACGGGGGCCCGCACAAGCGGUGGAGCAUGUGGUUUAAUUCGAUGCAACGCGAAGAACCUUACCUGGUCUUGACAUCCACAGAACUUUCCAGAGAUGGAUUGGUGCCUUCGGGAACUGUGAGACAGGUGCUGCAUGGCUGUCGUCAGCUCGUGUUGUGAAAUGUUGGGUUAAGUCCCGCAACGAGCGCAACCCUUAUCCUUUGUUGCCAGCGGUCCGGCCGGGAACUCAAAGGAGACUGCCAGUGAUAAACUGGAGGAAGGUGGGGAUGACGUCAAGUCAUCAUGGCCCUUACGACCAGGGCUACACACGUGCUACAAUGGCGCAUACAAAGAGAAGCGACCUCGCGAGAGCAAGCGGACCUCAUAAAGUGCGUCGUAGUCCGGAUUGGAGUCUGCAACUCGACUCCAUGAAGUCGGAAUCGCUAGUAAUCGUGGAUCAGAAUGCCACGGUGAAUACGUUCCCGGGCCUUGUACACACCGCCCGUCACACCAUGGGAGUGGGUUGCAAAAGAAGUAGGUAGCUUAACCUUCGGGAGGGCGCUUACCACUUUGUGAUUCAUGACUGGGGUGAAGUCGUAACAAGGUAACCGUAGGGGAACCUGCGGUUGGAUCACCUCCUUACCUUAAAGAA